AUCUAGUUGAUAAGUCCCAAAUAGGACGAAACGUGCGUCCUUAAU
RNAcentral lists this non-coding RNA (45 nucleotides) under Schistosoma haematobium. Lineage: Eukaryota; Metazoa; Platyhelminthes; Trematoda; Strigeidida; Schistosomatidae. The record is from RNAcentral.